RNAcentral lists this ribosomal RNA (247 nucleotides) under uncultured bacterium. RNAcentral describes it as "partial 16S ribosomal RNA". It matches the Rfam family "Bacterial small subunit ribosomal RNA", at positions 57 to 305 of the family's 1533-position model. The record is from RNAcentral.
GCAAGUCGAGGGGGAAGUUACUUUCGGGUGACUGAGACCGGCGUACGGGUGCGUAACGCGUAUACAAUCUGCCUUUCACUGGGGGAUAGCCCGAAGAAAUUUGGAUUAAUACCCCAUAGUAUAGGAGCACGGCAUCGUGAUACUAUUAAAGCUUAGGUGGUGAAAGAUGAGUAUGCGUUCUAUUAGCUAGUUGGAGAGGUAACGGCUCCCCAAGGCGAUGAUAGAUAGGGGUUCUGAGAGGGAUGUC